Molecule: transfer RNA, 65 nt
Filed under: Sacculina confragosa
Lineage: Eukaryota; Metazoa; Arthropoda; Thecostraca; Sacculinidae
Description: tRNA-Leu
Source: RNAcentral
UCUAAUGUGGCAGAAAAUAUGCAGUAAAUUUAAGCUUUAUGAAUAAGAAACUAUCUUUAUUAGAA